GUUUCGGAAUCUUCCCUUCCUCCGUGCAGUGGAUAUUCACCUACUUUCCAAUAUCUGUCGCAACGAAGUGAUUAGUACUCAACUUCAGCUUGCCUGACCACUGAUCAGUGGGCUGGUAAAGUGAGAUAUUACACCGCGGAGUUAUUUCCCAACUGUCCAAGUCCAAGUGUCCUAGAGUCUAGAAGCAUUUUCGUGUACGUAGCAGGAGGAGUGCCUUCCAGAAUUUAGCUUUUAAUUCUCAUCAAAUUGUGGAAAAUCUGCAGAUAUGUCUCUUAAACAGAUCUUUGACAAAGCUGCCCGAGCUGGAAUCAUACUGGUCUUCGUAGACUCUCAGUUUCAGCGGAAGCAGAAGCAGCCGAAACUCAUCAUGGAUUGGGCGGUGUCACUUUUGGUGAGUUAUUAAAUACUUCUAAUUUUGCUGAAACAUGAGCUGCCGUAGCAUGUCACCAAGGCAACCUAUGGAGACCACUAAGAACUGUUUAGAAUCUUGGAAAAUUGUGGAAGUAGCAAUGGUUCCAUGAGCCCAUAGUGGUAUAAGACAGGUUUGAUUUGAUACUAUGGAUGUAAUGUCUUCUCUUGCCUUACUGUUAUGAUUCUUUUAUCGAUUCCUUGCACCCUAUACUAAAGAUAUUUACGCACAGACACAAUAACACUUUUGCAUUGUGCAUAUAACAGUAGGUAUUCCCUUACAGUAAAUUUUACAGCUUCAAAAAGAAACUCAACAAGUUAGUUGUACUAGUGCUCAAUGGAGGACCAUUACUUAUCAACUGCCGUUUUUUGGAAUAUUAUAAUGCAAACCAGUAACAAUGAUGUUUGACCUUCUGUUAGACACAAUCUAUUUUUCAAGGCUUACAGGUAGCAUGUAAGAUGUUCAAAUAUUGCCAACUUUUUUGAAUAACCCCCCCCCCCCCCCACAGAGUCCUGGGGGGGGGGGGGAGUCAAAAUUAGAAAUUUCAGUGGAUAUUAUCUUCUCUGCAAAACUCUCAUUCGACAAUUUUUUUUCUACUCAUUAUAAGGUACAUGUUUUAUGCAGAAAAUACCUGGAAGUUUUUUUUUUUAAACACAAAAAAUUUCAAAAAAAAUUUGCACUCAUUCUUGAUCAAGUGAUAAAUUUGUUAAUCAAAUCUUAAUCUGCCAGAAUGCCAGAUACAAGGUAAUUUUGGCCCCUGUCUUUAUUGGCCGCUUACAGCUUGUGAAGGAAGGGAUCUUUAGCUGCUUGCCCUCGGCUUAGGCA
Molecule: long non-coding RNA, 1234 nt
Filed under: Bemisia tabaci
Lineage: Eukaryota; Metazoa; Arthropoda; Insecta; Hemiptera; Aleyrodidae
Description: lncRNA ENSSSA1NGG006379
Source: RNAcentral